UUGUGAAGGCCAGAAGUAAUUUUGCCUCCAACAUUAAACAAGUAUACAACAUUGUUCAAAACCUUUCUGGUUUUUUUAUCACCUAGUGUUUGCAUUAAUAACUUUACUACAUCCUUGAAGUAGCUACAAUGUUGUUAAAUAUCAGCUACAGAGACGCUAUAGCGAUAUAGCGUAGCGGACUAACCGCUGUUGUUCUGCGAUAUGCUAUUUAGUAUACAAUGUUAUCGAAUAGCGCCUAUAGUGGCACUAUGGCACUGUAGCAUAGUGGAAUUUUAACACUCCACUAUCUGCCAUUGGAAGGUUGAUCCGAAAAGUGAAAUAAGAAUCCUUGAAUGUCCAAUUUAUUGACUAUGAGGGCGUCCAUCUAGAAGACUUAUUUGGGCCGUCACACAAGCCCUUCUAAAGUGUUUAGACUAAUUUAUCAAAAUAACUUAUUAUUAUAGGAAUAACUUAUAACUUAUUAUUAAAGGAAUAACUUAAGGAGCUUGCAGUGCACUAUAGGUUAGCUUUAUAACUAUCUAACUGUCAAAUGACAGUUAUAGAAAGAUGUAGCUAAGUGACUGACAAAUGACAGUCACUAGCAACCGGUAAGCCGGUUAGGAUCAAUUCUAUAUAUAGAUUGAUCAAGCAUGUAACUAACUAAUUCAAUAUUCAGUUAAUGAAAAACAAAGUUCAAACAUUCUUAUACUCUUUGAAUAUCUCUAACUAACUCUCAUAGAAUAGAUUCUAGAAAUCUAACACUUAUCAUGUUAACAACAUCAACUAUCAGUCACCAUCAAAAAGCAAUACCACAUACCAUUACGAUAUCAACAACAAAUAAACAAUGAACUACAACUAUUUGGCUCAUUUGGGCACAUCAAGAGCAACAGCAAUAACAGAAGCAACCAAGUGUUAUCCCACUAAGUGGGGUCGGCUACCUGAACAAAUUAUGCCAUAAUGUUUUAUUAUAAACCAUAUUUCGGUCCAACUCAUUAAAUCUUCCUUAAUAGUUUAUCAAGGUCUUUCUCCAACUCUAGUAAUCAAAGUCAGACUAUCCUCCAUAUCAACAACGACAAUCAAAUAUGUCAAAAACAACAAAACCUUAAUCAUGUCAAAAAACAAAUACUAAAACUUACUUUCAUAGCAUUAACAUAGAACCAUAGACCUACAUGUUUAAUCCUUAGCCAUGCAUCCUUUGUACUUGUAUGGGAGAGAAAAAAGACAAAAUUGGCAAAUUUAAGAAACACAAAUUCAGAAUUCACGCCCUUUACUCUUCGUGAUUACGUAUCAUAUUGAUAUUUAUGAAUAAUUC
This 1291-nucleotide long non-coding RNA is filed under the name Medicago truncatula (barrel medic). RNAcentral's name for it is "long non-coding RNA (MTRU_LNC006776)". The record is from RNAcentral. Lineage: Eukaryota; Viridiplantae; Streptophyta; Magnoliopsida; Fabales; Fabaceae.